This 3126-nucleotide ribosomal RNA is filed under the name Mycolicibacterium arseniciresistens. Its description in RNAcentral is "23S ribosomal RNA". It matches the Rfam family "Bacterial large subunit ribosomal RNA". Lineage: Bacteria; Bacillati; Actinomycetota; Actinomycetes; Mycobacteriales; Mycobacteriaceae. The record is from RNAcentral.
UUGUAAGUGUUUAAGAGCGCAUGGUGGAUGCCUUGGCACUGGGAGCCGAUGAAGGACGUGGGAGGCUGCGAUAUGCCUCGGGGAGCUGUCAACCGAGCGUUGAUCCGAGGAUGUCCGAAUGGGGAAACCCGGCACGAGUGAUGUCGUGUCACCCGGCACUGAAUACAUAGGUGUCGGGGGGGAACGCGGGGAAGUGAAACAUCUCAGUACCCGUAGGAAGAGAAAACAAUUGUGAUUCCGUGAGUAGUGGCGAGCGAAAGCGGAGGAUGGCUAAACCGUAUGCAUGUGAUACCCGGCGGGGGUUGUGUGUGCGGGGUUGUGGGGCGUUUCUUCUCCUUUCCGCCGAGAGGGGCAACAGUGAUAAAGGUUCGUGUUAGUCGAAGUGGUUUUGGGAUGACCUGUCGUAGAGGGUGAGAGCCCCGUAGGCGAAAACGCGAACUCUGUUGUGGAGCUGUCCCCGAGUAGCAGCGGGCCCGUGGAAUCUGCUGUGAAUCUGCCGGGACCACCCGGUAAGCCUGAAUACUUCUCAGUGACCGAUAGCGGAUUAGUACCGUGAGGGAAUGGUGAAAAGUACCCCGGGAGGGGAGUGAAAGAGUACCUGAAACCGUGCGCUUACAAUCCGUCAGAGCCCUCGUUCUACGUGGGGUGAUGGCGUGCCUUUUGAAGAAUGAGCCUGCGAGUCAGGGACAUGUCGCGAGGUUAACCCGGGUGGGGUAGCCGCAGCGAAAGCGAGUCUGAAUAGGGCGUAUCCACACAAGAGUGUGUGGUGUAGUGGUGUGUUCUGGACCCGAAGCGGAGUGAUCUACCCAUGGCCAGGGUGAAGCGCGGGUAAGACCGCGUGGAGGCCCGAACCCACUUAGGUUGAAGACUGAGGGGAUGAGCUGUGGGUAGGGGUGAAAGGCCAAUCAAACUCCGUGAUAGCUGGUUCUCCCCGAAAUGCAUUUAGGUGCAGCGUCACAUGUUUCUUGUUGGAGGUAGAGCUACUGGAUGGCCGAUGGGCCCUACUAGGUUACUGACGUCAGCCAAACUCCGAAUGCCGACAAGUGAAAGUGUGGCAGUGAGACGGCGGGGGAUAAGCUCCGUGCGUCGAGAGGGAAACAGCCCAGAUCGCCGGCUAAGGCCCCUAAGCGUGUGCUAAGUGGAAAAGGAUGUGCAGUCGCGAAGACAACCAGGAGGUUGGCUUAGAAGCAGCCACCCUUGAAAGAGUGCGUAAUAGCUCACUGGUCAAGUGAUUGUGCGCCGAUAAUGUAGCGGGGCUCAAGCACACCGCCGAAGCCGCGGCAAUCAACGUUAGUUGGUUGGGUAGGGGAGCGUCCUGCAUCCGGUGAAGCAGCGGAGUGAUCCAGCUGUGGAGGGUGUGGGAGUGAGAAUGCAGGCAUGAGUAGCGAUAAGGCAAGUGAGAACCUUGCCCGCCGAAAGACCAAGGGUUCCUGGGCCAGGCCAGUCCGCCCAGGGUGAGUCGGGACCUAAGGCGAGGCCGACAGGCGUAGUCGAUGGACAACGGGUUGAUAUUCCCGUACCCGUGUGUGAGCGUCCCUGAUGAAUCAGCGGUACUAACCGCCCAAACCAUGCGUUACCGAUCACCUUCGGGUGUGAGGAUUGCAUGCGCUGCGCGGGACCUUCGUUGGUAGUAGUCAAGCGAUGGGGUGACGCAGGAAGGUAGCCGUACCAGUCAGUGGUAAUACUGGGGCAAACCGGUAGGACGACAUCUAGGCAAAUCCGGGUGUCAUGUAAGUCCGAGAGGUGAUGCAUAGCCGGAUGAGGUGAAUUCGGUGAUCCUAUGCUGCCAAGAAAAGCCUCUAGCGAGCGCACACACGGCCCGUACCCCAAACCGACACAGGUGGUCAGGUAGAGAAUACCAAGGCGUACGAGUGAACUAUGGUUAAGGAACUCGGCAAAAUGCCCCCGUAACUUCGGGAGAAGGGGGACCCCCACAUCGUCAUGGCCCUUGCGGCCGGCAGCGGGAGGGGGUGGCACAAACCAGUGAGAAGCGACUGUUUACUAAAAACACAGGUCCGUGCGAAGUCGCAAGACGAUGUAUACGGACUGACGCCUGCCCGGUGCUGGAAGGUUAAGAGGACCGGUUAACCCUUCGGGGUGAAGCUGAGAAUUUAAGCCCCAGUAAACGGCGGUGGUAACUAUAACCAUCCUAAGGUAGCGAAAUUCCUUGUCGGGUAAGUUCCGACCUGCACGAAUGGCGUAACGACUUCUCAACUGUCUCAACCAUAGACUCGGCGAAAUUGCAUUACGAGUAAAGAUGCUCGUUACGCGCGGCAGGACGAAAAGACCCCGGGACCUUCACUACAACUUGGUAUUGGAGUUCGAUACGGUUUGUGUAGGAUAGGUGGGAGACUGUGAAGCGGCCACGCCAGUGGUUGUGGAGUCGUUGUUGAAAUACCACUCUGAUCGUAUUGGGCUUCUAACCUCGGACCGUAUAUCCGGUUCAGGGACAGUGCCUGGUGGGUAGUUUAACUGGGGCGGUUGCCUCCUAAAAUGUAACGGAGGCGCCCAAAGGUUCCCUCAACCUGGACGGCAAUCAGGUGUUGAGUGUAAGUGCACAAGGGAGCUUGACUGCGAGACGUACAUGUCGAGCAGGGACGAAAGUCGGGACUAGUGAUCCGGCACCCCCGAGUGGAAGGGGUGUCGCUCAACGGAUAAAAGGUACCCCGGGGAUAACAGGCUGAUCUUCCCCAAGAGUCCAUAUCGACGGGAUGGUUUGGCACCUCGAUGUCGGCUCGUCGCAUCCUGGGGCUGGAGCAGGUCCCAAGGGUUGGGCUGUUCGCCCAUUAAAGCGGCACGCGAGCUGGGUUUAGAACGUCGUGAGACAGUUCGGUCUCUAUCCGCCGCGCGCGUCAGAAGCUUGAGGAAACCUGUCCCUAGUACGAGAGGACCGGGACGGACGAACCUCUGGUAUACCAGUUGUCCCACCAGGGGCACCGCUGGAUAGCCACGUUCGGACAGGAUAACCGCUGAAAGCAUCUAAGCGGGAAACCCCCUCCAAGACCAGGCUUCUCACCCAUUUAAGUGGGAUAAGGCCCCCCGCAGACCACGGGAUCGAUAGGCCAGACCUGGAAACGCAGCAAUGCGCGUAGGGAACUGGCACUAACCGGCCGAAAACUUACAACA